GAUUUGUAAGAUCUCGACAUUUGUUUUGCGUAAGAAACCCAUAUAAUGUCAAAAAUUUGAUCACAAUCCAAAUUCAGAGCUGUAUCUAGCUUGAAUGUUUUGCCCAUACUUGCUCCAACUGUUCAGGGUUCGACCUCUGCGGUCGUAUAAAGCUGCACCCUGCGGAGCACCUGGUUUAAUUUUGUAUCUACCUUGGCCGCUUUUUUUAUGAAACAAAGCAGGACCUAUUCUUUCAAUUUGUCUUGUAGUUUAAAAUGAUGAAUAGGUAUAACAGUCGUUUGUUUAAUACUAUAAGAGACUUGAAUAGAUUGUAUGUACUCAAGACUCAAUGCUCUUCAACUUUGUACUUGUUUGUACACAUUUUUAAGUAUCGAAAACUGAUUCAUGACGCC
RNAcentral lists this long non-coding RNA (392 nucleotides) under Mytilus galloprovincialis (Mediterranean mussel). Lineage: Eukaryota; Metazoa; Mollusca; Bivalvia; Mytilida; Mytilidae. The record is from RNAcentral.